AUGGCUAACUCUGUCUUGCAGCCCAUGCAGGGUUACAUCCUUGCUCUGUGCUUUGGGUCAGGGUGCCAACACCACAAGACCGUUUUGAUUUUUUCAAGGAGAACUGUUUCACUUUCCCUACUUGAAGCGGUUCUUCACUGGGUAACGACUAGCAGUAAGUGGAGAUCUGCUAUUUUAUUAUUUCACUUUCUCUCCCUUCUCAGCUGGAAGAGGACCAGGUCACACUCACGAGGGCUGAGCACGAGAUGGCGCCCGAGCCCGCGCCAGGCCAGCGGCCGGCUCCUGGCAGCCUUCAGGGCCGCGCCCACCUCACCCCGCCCUCCCCGCGCCUCAGAAAUGGCGCAGUUUUGGCCUCUCCCUGUAGGAACCGAAGGGAAGAGCUGUAGCAGCGCCCCGCAGCCCGGUCCCGGCCGGGAGCAGAACACGCUCCGAAGAGGGGCCGGGCGAUGCCAGCAGAGGGCGCUGCCGCCCGCCCUCUCGGGGCCGGCCUCGGCUACCGCAGCUAACAGCAGGUAGGAUCCUGAAGUGGCUGCCUGCCAAGGACCAGGCUACAGUGCUGCAAAGAAGAAAGUACAAGACAGAAGAAUCUCUGAACAGUCCAGCUACCAGCAGUGGCAUUGCUUUGCUUUUAGGAGCUUUCUAUCCUGCAAUAUCCAUGAGGCUGUCUCUGUUGGAGAGAGCAAGGAGACCUCCCAGGGCUCUCUGAACUUGUGAGGGAUCAGAAGCAGCAGCACCAGAAGAAUCAGCAGAGGCUCCAAGGCUUCUGCAGAUAGUAUCUAUAUGAGCAUCUAUGUCCAUGAUGCUCUUCCUCUCCCUGUUUUUGAUCACAAGUUGAAAAGUCUUGGAAAUACAGUUCAGAAGAGUUAAAAACUCCCAGAAAUACAGAUUCAGAAACCUCAGAAACACUGAAAGUUGGACAUAAACCAAGGAGCUGCAGGAGGGCAUGCAUAACCACUGACACUUUAUGUCUGUGACUGUACUUCAAAUAAAGGAGAUGGAAUAUUAAAAAGUCCCUACCCU
RNAcentral lists this long non-coding RNA (1020 nucleotides) under Numida meleagris (helmeted guineafowl). RNAcentral's name for it is "lncRNA (ENSNMEG00000022114.1)". The record is from RNAcentral. Lineage: Eukaryota; Metazoa; Chordata; Aves; Galliformes; Numididae.